This is a long non-coding RNA of Brachypodium distachyon (stiff brome), 1442 nucleotides long. RefSeq lists it as uncharacterized. Lineage: Eukaryota; Viridiplantae; Streptophyta; Magnoliopsida; Poales; Poaceae. The transcript has 2 exons. The record is from RefSeq and is a predicted model, not a curated record.
UACCGGGUUGAGUUGGGCGGUGUAGAAUAAAGCCCACGUAUGGCUGACUCGCGCGGGGCUGGCGUGCGCUGCGCUGGGCGGUCAAGGCGAGGAGCAAACAGAUUAGUACCACAUCGGCUAGCACGAUGAUUUCCGACCAGCAUAUAAACUCCCUCGCUACCUUCUAUGCUGUCCCUAGGUUAGCAUGGCCCCUGCGCAAGGAUGACACGCAUACAUUGAGAAAUGGUCCAAUUUUUUGGGGAUUUUACGCUGUGGUCCCUUUUUUUUUCUCGCAGAUAUACCCCUCGCCUCCUUUCGCGCUGCUGUGUUCUGUCUUCUCUUCUAUUACAAACGGAUCCUUGCUCUCUUCCGCACAGGCUCUUUGAUUUUUUCUUUCCUCAGCCAUGCCCCUGGAGCCCCUUCUGUCUUUUCUGCCUGUACAAAACGAUCCUUACUCUCUUGCGUGGAGGUCCUUUUCCUUCCUCAGCCAUGCAUGCCCCUGGUGCCUUCUUUUUUUGCUCUUCCGUCUUUUCUGCUCGUACAAAUUCCUAGUGAACGCAAUUUUCAGCACUCAGUGUAGAACUUUUUAAUCAACAAUACAUCAUAUUGGAUUAUUAUUUUGGCAGCCAUCAUAUCUGAUACGGAGUAUAUUUUUACAGCCAUCAUAUUGGAUCUAUUCAUCUAUUCCAUAUACAUGGCUCAUGUGUUUUCUAAGUAGAUAUUGUGUCCAAGAUACUCCCACUGGGAUUGGCCUUAGUAUGCAAUUUAAAUCCUUAGUUCCUUUUUGUUUUUCAACUUGUAGAUCCAACAAAGAUUUGCAAUUUUGUGAUACAGUAGAUUCAAGUUUCUUCAAAAAAAUAAAAAUUGUAAGCCUGUUGGGCUGCACACGGCUGCACCAGAUCAGCCAGGGCGUCCGAAGCCAAAAUUUCCCCAUCCUUGGCCUGCCACCCCCUUGCCGGCGCAAGCUCGCCGAUCCGGUGCGCCAGAGGCCAGCCUGGGGCAUGCUCCCAGCAGAGAAGGCAUCAGCCCUCCUCCGGGCCCCGUUCGCCGCGGAGGAGAUCGCCGCACCCGCGAACCUGCACGUGAUGGCGCAGUGCACGGGGGACCCCUGCCCGCGGAGGAGCCUUGCGUCCCACAUGGUCUGGCUCGCCGGACGCUAGACGGUCCCAGCCCAUACCUUCACGCCGCCGUCCAUGGCGCCGCCGCAGUAUGUGCCAGAGAAACAACACUCAUUCAGUUACAUUCAUUUGGUGAUCGAUGCACUCUGGUAGUUGACAACACUCAUUCAGUUACAAAUGUACUUAACAGUUACCAACACCACGACCUGCUAUGUAUUGUCGCUUGAUGCAAGGACAGAUUUAGAGAAUUAUAAUAUAUGCCAGCUCAACAUUGGAUACAUUGUAUGCUACACUUACAAAGAAUGGUAGACCUUGGAAAUGCAUUGCUCCCUAUUUUGGCUGCAA